This 717-nucleotide ribosomal RNA is filed under the name uncultured Staphylococcus sp. RNAcentral describes it as "bacterial SSU rRNA". It matches the Rfam family "Bacterial small subunit ribosomal RNA", at positions 61 to 760 of the family's 1533-position model. Lineage: Bacteria; Bacillati; Bacillota; Bacilli; Caryophanales; Staphylococcaceae. The record is from RNAcentral.
GUCGAGCGAACAGACGAGGAGCUUGCUUCUCUGACGUUAGCGGCGGACGGGUGAGUAACACGUGGAUAACCUACCUAUAAGACUGGGAUAACUUCGGGAAACCGGAGCUAAUACCGGAUAAUAUAUUGAACCGCAUGGUUCAAUAGUGAAAGACGGUUUUGCUGUCACUUAUAGAUGGAUCCGCGCCGCAUUAGCUAGUUGGUAAGGUAACGGCUUACCAAGGCAACGAUGCGUAGCCGACCUGAGAGGGUGAUCGGCCACACUGGAACUGAGACACGGUCCAGACUCCUACGGGAGGCAGCAGUAGGGAAUCUUCCGCAAUGGGCGAAAGCCUGACGGAGCAACGCCGCGUGAGUGAUGAAGGUCUUCGGAUCGUAAAACUCUGUUAUUAGGGAAGAACAAAUGUGUAAGUAACUAUGCACGUCUUGACGGUACCUAAUCAGAAAGCCACGGCUAACUACGUGCCAGCAGCCGCGGUAAUACGUAGGUGGCAAGCGUUAUCCGGAAUUAUUGGGCGUAAAGCGCGCGUAGGCGGUUUUUUAAGUCUGAUGUGAAAGCCCACGGCUCAACCGUGGAGGGUCAUUGGAAACUGGAAAACUUGAGUGCAGAAGAGGAAAGUGGAAUUCCAUGUGUAGCGGUGAAAUGCGCAGAGAUAUGGAGGAACACCAGUGGCGAAGGCGACUUUCUGGUCUGUAACUGACGCUGAUGUGCGAAAGC